This 334-nucleotide long non-coding RNA is filed under the name Jatropha curcas. RNAcentral's name for it is "long non-coding RNA (JCUR_LNC001463)". Lineage: Eukaryota; Viridiplantae; Streptophyta; Magnoliopsida; Malpighiales; Euphorbiaceae. The record is from RNAcentral.
CGGUGAUGCUUUCGUGGCGGCGAUGGUGAUGGGGUACGCUGGUGGCGAUGGCGGCGGUGAGAACGAGACUCUGGAGAACGCGAUCGCGAACGAUAGCGUUCAGGAGAGCGAGUGCGGGAACGAGUGUGCCGUGACCGGGUGCGGUCAGGUGAACGGGUGCGAGAACGAGCACUGCGGGUGCGAUCAGGUGAACGGGUGCGAGAACGAGUGCUCCGGAUGCGGUCUCUAGCUCUGUCUCUUUCACGGUCACGAUCGCGUUCACGGUCUUCUUUGUCUCGGCGUCUUUCUCUGUCUCGGUCUCGGUCUCUGUCUCUGUCUCUGUCUCUGUCCCUAG